UACGGAGGGUGCGAGCGUUGUCCGGAAUCACUGGGCGUAAAGGGCGCGUAGGCGGCUCCGGCAGUCUGUGGUGAAAGCCCAGGCUCAACUCUGGGUCGGCCACGGAUACUCCGGGGCUGGAGCACACUGGAGGCGGAUGGAAUUCCGGGUGUAGCGGUGGAAUGCGUAGAGAUCCGGAAGAACACCGGUGGCGAAGGCGGUCCGCUGGGG
This 210-nucleotide ribosomal RNA is filed under the name uncultured bacterium. RNAcentral describes it as "partial 16S ribosomal RNA". It matches the Rfam family "Bacterial small subunit ribosomal RNA", at positions 524 to 734 of the family's 1533-position model. The record is from RNAcentral.